This 734-nucleotide ribosomal RNA is filed under the name uncultured bacterium. RNAcentral's name for it is "bacterial SSU rRNA". It matches the Rfam family "Bacterial small subunit ribosomal RNA", at positions 8 to 719 of the family's 1533-position model. The record is from RNAcentral.
AGAGUUUGAUCCUGGCUCAGAACGAACGCUGGCGGCGUGCUUAAGACAUGCAAGUCGAACGGUAAGGCACCUUCGGGUGUACACGAGUGGCGCACGGGUGAGUAACGCGUGGGUAAUCUACCUUCGGGUUUGGAACAACUCCGGGAAACUGGAGCUAAUACCGAAUGAGACCACGAGGUCCUUGGGCCUUGUGGAAAAAGGUGGCCUCUUCUUGAAAGCUAUCGCCUGUUGAUGAGCCCGCGUACCAUUAGCUUGUUGGUGAGGUAAAAGCUCACCAAGGCGACGAUGGUUAGCUGGUCUGAGAGGAUGAUCAGCCACACUGGAACUGAGACACGGUCCAGACUCCUACGGGAGGCAGCAGUCGGGAAUUUUGUGCAAUGGGGGAAACCCUGACACAGCAACGCCGCGUGAGGGAUGAAGGCCUUCGGGUCGUAAACCUCUGUCGGGAGGGACGAAAGUACUUUGGGCCAAUACUCCAGAGUACCGACGGUACCUCCAAAGGAAGCACCGGCUAACUCCGUGCCAGCAGCCGCGGUAAUACGGAGGGUGCAAGCGUUGUUCGGAAUUAUUGGGCGUAAAGCGCGCGUAGGCGGCUUGGUAAGUCGGAUGUGAAAGCCCGGGGCUCAACCCCGGAAUUGCAUUCGAAACUGCUUGGCUAGAGUCUCGGAGAGGAGGGCGGAAUUCCCGGUGUAGAGGUGAAAUUCGUAGAUAUCGGGAGGAACACCAGUGGCGAA